Molecule: non-coding RNA, 115 nt
Organism: Triticum aestivum (bread wheat)
Lineage: Eukaryota; Viridiplantae; Streptophyta; Magnoliopsida; Poales; Poaceae
Source: Rfam
CUACUACUCCCUCCGUCCGAAAAUACUUGUCAUUGAAAUGGAUGUAUCUAGAUGUAUUUUAGUUCUAGACACAUCCAUUUUGAUGACAAGUAAUUCCGGAUGGAGGGAGUAUUAU